RNAcentral lists this ribosomal RNA (429 nucleotides) under uncultured bacterium. RNAcentral's name for it is "bacterial SSU rRNA". It matches the Rfam family "Bacterial small subunit ribosomal RNA", at positions 355 to 776 of the family's 1533-position model. The record is from RNAcentral.
UGGGGAAUAUUGGACAAUGGGCGAAAGCCUGAUCCAGCCAUGCCGCGUGUGUGAAGAAGGCCUUUUGGUUGUAAAGCACUUUAAGUAGGGAGGAAAAGCUUAUGGUUAAUACCCAUAAGCCCUGACGUUACCUACAGAAUAAGCACCGGCUAACUCUGUGCCAGCAGCCGCGGUAAUACAGAGGGUGCAAGCGUUAAUCGGAAUUACUGGGCGUAAAGCGAGCGUAGGUGGUUGUUUAAGUCAGAUGUGAAAGCCCUGGGCUUAACCUAGGAACUGCAUCUGAUACUGGAUGACUAGAGUAGGUGAGAGGGAAGUAGAAUUCCAGGUGUAGCGGUGAAAUGCGUAGAGAUCUGGAGGAAUACCGAUGGCGAAGGCAGCUUCCUGGCAUCAUACUGACACUGAGGUUCGAAAGCGUGGGUAGCAAACAGG